Octopus sinensis (East Asian common octopus) is the source of this 282-nucleotide long non-coding RNA. RefSeq lists it as uncharacterized. The transcript is spliced from 2 exons. Lineage: Eukaryota; Metazoa; Mollusca; Cephalopoda; Octopoda; Octopodidae. The record is from RefSeq and is a predicted model, not a curated record.
UGUCACACAGCAGUACAGAUCUUACUCUACUGACACUGUCAUCACCAACUGCAGAUUGGGGAACUACUGAAUAUAUAAAUAUCUACACACAGUUAUAUAUAUAUAUAUAAGGGGCAUGUGGUAGAGAAGACAGAAAGGGCAAGUGGCAGAAGGGGCCAGAGACACUGGUGCAGUGGUGAAACGUCGGUGACGCAGUGUGUCGGCUGCUGUGAUUAUGCUAAGAGCAUUAGAUCGAAUUAGAUGCUGCAGUAAUAAUGAAGCAACAGAGGAGGGGAAAGAAGC